CCUACGGGAGGCUGCAGUGAGGAAUAUUGGUCAAUGGACGAGAGUCUGAACCAGCCAAGUAGCGUGAAGGAUGACUGCCCUAUGGGUUGUAAACUUCUUUUAUAUGGGAAUAAAAUGUUCCACGUGUGGGAUUUUGUAUGUACCAUAUGAAUAAGGAUCGGCUAACUCCGUGCCAGCAGCCGCGGUAAUACGGAGGGUCCGAGCGUUAUCCGGAUUUUUUGGGUUUAAAGGGAGCGUAGGUGGGUUGUUAAGUCAGUUGUGAAAGUUUGGGGCUCAACCGUAAAAUUGCAGUUGAAACUGGCAGUCUUGAGUACAGUAGAGGUGGGCGGAAUGCGUGGUGUAGCGGUGAAAUGCUUAGAUAUCACGAAGAACUCCGAUUGCGAAGGCAGCUCACUGGACUGCAACUGACACUGAGGCUCGAAAGUGUGGGUAUCAAACAGGAUGAGAUACCCGAGUAGUC
This 460-nucleotide ribosomal RNA is filed under the name uncultured bacterium. RNAcentral describes it as "partial 16S ribosomal RNA". It matches the Rfam family "Bacterial small subunit ribosomal RNA", at positions 338 to 795 of the family's 1533-position model. The record is from RNAcentral.